AAGUCGUAACAAGGUUUCCGUGGGUGAACUUGCGGAAGGAUCAUUAAAGAAUUAGGCUUCGCGGCCAAGUUCUCACCCUUUGUAUACCGAAACCAUGUUUCUUUGGCAGGCCCCUGCAUUUCCGGCUGGCCAGCAGGUGUUAAUACCCUAGAAUCUCUGCUGUCUGAGUACUAUAUAAUAGUUAAAA
Molecule: unclassified non-coding RNA, 187 nt
Filed under: plant metagenome
Description: partial contains small subunit ribosomal RNA and internal transcribed spacer 1
Rfam family: Eukaryotic small subunit ribosomal RNA (bases 1-46)
Source: RNAcentral